GAUGAAGAACGUAGCGAAAUGCGAUAAGUAAUGUGAAUUGCAGAAUUCAGUGAAUCAUCGAAUCUUUGAACGCACAUUGCGCCCCCUGGUAUUCCGGGGGGCAUGCCUGUCCGAGCGUCAUUGCUGCCCUCAAGCACGGCUUGUGUGUUGGGCCUCCGUCCUCCUCCCGGGGGACGGGCCCGAAAGGCAGCGGCGGCACCGCGUCCGGUCCUCGAGCGUAUGGGGCUUCGUCACCCGCUCUUGUAGGCCCGGCCGGCGCUUGCCGACACAUCAAUCUUUUUUCCAGGUUGACCUCGGAUCAGGUAGGGAUACCCGCUGAACUUAAGCAUAUCAAUAACGGAGGA
Molecule: unclassified non-coding RNA, 344 nt
Filed under: soil metagenome
Description: partial contains 5.8S ribosomal RNA, internal transcribed spacer 2, and large subunit ribosomal RNA
Rfam family: 5.8S ribosomal RNA (bases 1-120)
Source: RNAcentral